AUUUAACCUAAAAGUUGCGCUAGGGAUUGCAGCGAAUAGCUUUUGGCGAGGCGCGCAUCGAGCCAAAACUUGUAGCGUAAAGCCCGACCCUUU
Molecule: small RNA, 93 nt
Filed under: Neotamlana nanhaiensis
Lineage: Bacteria; Pseudomonadati; Bacteroidota; Flavobacteriia; Flavobacteriales; Flavobacteriaceae
Description: Tamlana nanhaiensis Flavo-1 RNA
Rfam family: Flavo-1 RNA
Source: Rfam by way of RNAcentral